Molecule: ribosomal RNA, 455 nt
Filed under: uncultured Methylococcus sp.
Lineage: Bacteria; Pseudomonadati; Pseudomonadota; Gammaproteobacteria; Methylococcales; Methylococcaceae
Description: bacterial SSU rRNA
Rfam family: Bacterial small subunit ribosomal RNA
Source: RNAcentral
AUCGGAAUUACUGGGCGUAAAGCGUGCGUAGGCGGCUGUUUAAGUCAGAUGUGAAAGCCCCGGGCUUAACCUGGGAACUGCAUUUGAUACUGGAGGGCUAGAGUUUAAUAGAGGGGAGUGGAAUUUCCGGUGUAGCGGUGAAAUGCGUAGAGAUCUGAAGGAACACCAGUGGCGAAGGCGACUCCCUGGAUUAAAACUGACGCUGAGGUACGAAAGCGUGGGUAGCAAACAGGAUUAGAUACCCUGGUAGUCCACGCCGUAAACGAUGUCAACUAGCCGUUGGGCCUUUUAACAAGAUUAGUGGCGCAGCUAACGCAUUAAGUUGACCGCCUGGGGAGUACGGCCGCAAGGUUAAAACUCAAAUGAAUUGACGGGGGCCCGCACAAGCGGUGGAGCAUGUGGUUUAAUUCGAUGCAACGCGAAGAACCUUACCUACCCUUGACAUGCAUAGAAUC